GACGAACGCUGGCGGCGUGCUUAACACAUGCAAGUCGAACGCUGAAGCUCAGCUUUUGUUGGGUGGAUGAGUGGCGAACGGGUGAGUAACACGUGAGUAACCUGCCCCCUUCUUUGGGAUAACGCCCGGAAACGGGUGCUAAUACUGGAUAUUCACUGGUCUUCGCAUGGGGGUUGGUGGAAAGGGUUUUUCUGGUGGGGGAUGGGCUCGCGGCCUAUCAGCUUGUUGGUGGGGUGAUGGCCUACCAAGGCUUUGACGGGUAGCCGGCCUGAGCGGGUGACCGGUCACUGAGGGACAGAGGUACGGCCCAGACUCCUACGGGGGGCAGAAGUGGGGAAUAAUGAGCAGUGGGGGAAAGCCUGAUGCAGCGACGCGGCGUGAGGGAUGGAGGCGCUCGGGUUGUGAACCUCUUUCGCUCAUGGUCAAGCCGCAACAAUGGUUGUGGUGAGGGUAGUGGGUAAAGAAGCGCCGGCUAACUACGUG
Molecule: ribosomal RNA, 483 nt
Filed under: uncultured bacterium
Lineage: Bacteria
Description: partial 16S ribosomal RNA
Rfam family: Bacterial small subunit ribosomal RNA
Source: RNAcentral